UACCUUUUUUUUCUGCGUCAGAGUUCCCUGUGACGUCAGUUGAAAGAGCAAUUCCACUAGUGAUGCCGCGUUCAAACCAACUGGGACCUCAGACCUGGGACCUCAAACCAACUGGGACCUCGGAAAUCUCCGAUUUCAGUGCGUUCACGACAUCUGCCCCCCCCCCCGAGUUUCCAGUUGUCUUUAAAGUACCAUGAGACAGCAAACCCCUCGGUGACCGCCAGAAUGAGUGAUCACCCAUCAUCAAGUGUAAAUCCGUAGACUACUGAUUCGGGAUUCUAUCACCGCAUAUACUGUAAUAUGAGUUCAUAAAUAAAUGUCGAAUAUAUAUAUAUAUUUGAGAUAUUUUCACUAUUUUGUAGCUAGAGGUCGCUGCAUCAUCUUUGUUCCGUUAAUGAGGCGCUGUCUGAUCUGGAGCCGCAAAAACAGGAUGACAAUUCAGAUUACCUUGGUGACAGCCAUUAGUAACUGACGGAUUAUGGAACAAGAAGUUUUGGCCCAACAUCACAGGGCUGGAUAGAUGGAUAGCUCAGACCUGGCUAGAUGUAGUGACAGACAACCUUGGUGAGAAGAAGCAUGGUGUGGAGUCAGCUGUACGAGGUGGCAACAUGCAUCUGUGUGCCUGACAGACAUAUCAGCUUGGAUGUCAUCCCACCACCUCAAGCUCAACAAGACAGAGCUGCUCUUCCUCCCAGUCAAAGCCCGCCCGCUCCAAGACCGCUCCAUCACAGUUGACAACUCCAUGGUGUCCCUCUCCCAGAGUUCAAAAAGCCUUGGUGAGACCCCUGCAAACAUCAAAGCAGUGACCCACUCCUGCAGGUUCAGGCUCUACAACAGCUAUUCUCAAACUGGGGUACACGCAAGGUCGUCAGGGGUACGCCAAAUAAAAUUUUACAUUUUCUCCCAGGG
Molecule: long non-coding RNA, 909 nt
Organism: Oncorhynchus tshawytscha (Chinook salmon)
Lineage: Eukaryota; Metazoa; Chordata; Actinopteri; Salmoniformes; Salmonidae
Exons: 3
Source: RefSeq, a predicted model, not a curated record